AUGCAUACCACAUACACCACACACACAUACCACAUAUACCACACAUCCAUACCACAUAUAGCACACACACCACACACAUACCACAUAUACCGCAUGCAUAUCACAUACACUAUAAACCACAUACACCACACACACAUACCACAUAUACCACACACACCACACACCACAUACCACAUACACUACAUGCAUACCACAUAUGCUACACAUGCAUACCACAUACACUGCACAUACACCACAUAUACCACACACAUGCCACAAGCACCACAGGCAUACCACACACACCACACACAGACCACAUACACCAUACACAUCACAUACACCAUACACACAUAUCACAUAAACCACACAUGUAUACCACAUAUACCACACACAUAUCACACACACCACACACAUACUACACAAUACACACAUACCACAUACACUACAUGCAUACCACACAUACCACACACCAUACCACAUAUACCACAUGCAUAUCACAUAUACUACACACAAACCACAUACAGCACACACACCACAUAUAUCACACACAUACCACACACCACAUACAUGCCACACACCACAUACCACAAACACUACACACAUAUCAUAUACACUGCAUGCAUAUCACUACACUACACGCAUACCACAUAUGCCACACAUGCAUACCACAUACACUGCACACACACACCACAUACACCACACACAUGCCACAAGCACCACACGCAUACUAGACACACCACACACAGACCACAUACACCACACACAUCACAUAUAUCACACACAUCACAUACACCACACACAGCACAUACACCACACACACAUGCCACAUAUACCACAUGCAUAUCACAUACACCACACACACAUUCACAUGCUCCCACAUCCUUUCCAGAAGCAGUCCCAGGCAGAUCUUUCAAUGCAGGCAAUGCAUGUGGUGUGUGGUGUGUGUGUGGUGUGUGGUAUGUGUGCGGUGUGUGUGAUGUGUGUGAUAUGUAUAUGAUGAGGGGUCCAGUCCUGAUAAGGGAGGAAACCUCUGGUAGACAUACAUGGACAGCACACCGCUAUUAA
This 1044-nucleotide long non-coding RNA is filed under the name Macaca fascicularis (crab-eating macaque). Its description in RNAcentral is "lncRNA (ENSMFAG00000061816.1)". The record is from RNAcentral. Lineage: Eukaryota; Metazoa; Chordata; Mammalia; Primates; Cercopithecidae.